GAUGAAGAACGCAGCGAAAUGCGAUAAGUAAUGUGAAUUGCAGAAUUCAGUGAAUCAUCGAAUCUUUGAACGCACAUUGCGCCCUCUGGUAUUCCGGGGGGCAUGCCUGUCCGAGCGUCAUUGCUGCCCUCAAGCACGGCUUGUGUGUUGGGCUUCCGUCCCUGGCAACGGGGACGGGCCCAAAAGGCAGUGGCGGCACCAUGUCUGGUCCUCGAGCGUAUGGGGCUUUGUCACCCGCUCCCGUAGGUCCAGCUGGCAGCUAGCCUCGCAACCAAUCUUUUUAACCAGGUUGACCUCGGAUCAGGUAGGGAUACCCGCUGAACUUAAGCAUAUCAAUAAGCGGAGGA
RNAcentral lists this unclassified non-coding RNA (347 nucleotides) under soil metagenome. RNAcentral's name for it is "partial contains 5.8S ribosomal RNA, internal transcribed spacer 2, and large subunit ribosomal RNA". The stretch from base 1 to 120 matches the Rfam family "5.8S ribosomal RNA", at positions 35 to 154 of the family's 154-position model. The record is from RNAcentral.